UCGCGGCGCUGGCCGGGGUCGACCACAUCGUCCACGCCGGCGACGUCGGCGGGCGGCCGGUGUUCGACGCGCUCGCCGCGAUC
RNAcentral lists this transfer RNA (83 nucleotides) under Nannocystis exedens. RNAcentral's name for it is "tRNA-Ala". Lineage: Bacteria; Pseudomonadati; Myxococcota; Nannocystales; Nannocystaceae. The record is from RNAcentral.